GAAGAGUGGUAACUCUUUCGGGCGCUCAUUCCAUCGGUGAUUCCCAUUGCUCAUCCUUUGCCAAAUGCUUAUACUCAUUCAAUUCAACAUACUCUCAAGAUCCAUCACUGGAUCCCACCUAUCCUAAUUACCUAAAAGGCCUACGCCCCCCUUCUGCAAGCACGAGCCUGAACCCGAGCUGAGAAACGGUCGUGUUAUUCAAUCCUACAACACCUAUCAAGAUUGAUAACAAUUACUAUAAGAAUUUGAAAAAUAGCAAUGGAAUAUUGGUUUCUGAUCAGGUCCUAUGGAACACACCUUUAACUAGACUAUCAGCGAAGAAAAAUUCAAAUCAUCAAGAUUAUUGGGCUACCAAAUUUGCUGCAGCAAUGGUGAACGUGGGAUCAAUUGAAGUUCUAACAGGGAAUCAAGGAGAGAUCAGGGGAAAAUGCUGGCUUGUGAAUUAAAUCAAAAUGCUAUCAUUAUUUUUUCCUAGUUUCUUUCUUUAUAAUGGGGCGUACUUUUUAUUUUAUUUUAUUUUUUGUUUAAUUUGCUUGUCAUUUUGAUGUGUUUUUCGUGAGAAUAUUUUGUUUACCUGUG
Molecule: long non-coding RNA, 579 nt
Filed under: Olea europaea subsp. europaea
Lineage: Eukaryota; Viridiplantae; Streptophyta; Magnoliopsida; Lamiales; Oleaceae
Source: RNAcentral